RNAcentral lists this ribosomal RNA (497 nucleotides) under uncultured bacterium. RNAcentral describes it as "partial 16S ribosomal RNA". It matches the Rfam family "Bacterial small subunit ribosomal RNA", at positions 28 to 507 of the family's 1533-position model. The record is from RNAcentral.
GAUGAACGCUGGCGGCGUGCCUAAUACAUGCAAGUCGAGCGAACAGAUGAGGAGCUUGCUCCUCUGACGUUAGCGGCGGACGGGUGAGUAACACGUGGAUAACCUACCUAUAAGACUGGGAUAACUUCGGGAAACCGGAGCUAAUACCGGAUAAUAUAUUGAACCGCAUGGUUCAAUAGUGAAAGACGGUUUUGCUGUCACUUAUAGAUGGAUCCGCGCCGCAUUAGCUAGUUGGUAAGGUAACGGCUUACCAAGGCAACGAUGCGUAGCCGACCUGAGAGGGUGAUCGGCCACACUGGAACUGAGACACGGACAAGACUCCUACGGGAGGCAGCAGUAGGGAAUCUUCCGCAAUGGGCGAAAGCCUGACGGAGCAACGCCACGUGAGUGAUGAAGGUCUUCGGAUCGUAAAACUCUGUUAUUAGGGAAGAACAAAUGUGUAAGUAACUAUGCACGUCUUGACGGUACCUAAUCAGAAAGCCACGGCUAACUACGUG